This 602-nucleotide long non-coding RNA is filed under the name Zea mays. RNAcentral describes it as "long non-coding RNA NONZMAT001626". Lineage: Eukaryota; Viridiplantae; Streptophyta; Magnoliopsida; Poales; Poaceae. The record is from RNAcentral.
AAGCAAUAAUGUUUGUAUGUGUGUAUGUAUAUAAGCCUGGUCGUCUCGUCUCUAUCACCUUCGUCGUCGUCAGAUAUAACAAAAAAUAAAACCCACAAAGAAAUGAACAAAAAAGAGGUGACAAUGCAGGUGAAUAGCCCAGUCACUUUCACCCCCAUCAUGAGAAAAAAAAAGAAUCCACACAUGAAAAGAAAAUAGAAAAGUAUUGGCGCAGGUAAUACGCCUCGUCUCUUUCAUGUUAAGAAAGAAGAGAGAGAGAGAGAGAGAGCUUGCUGGUCAUCACUUUCUGCCCUGCUGCCUUAGCUUGGUGGCCUAACAAAGGUACUCCUCCUCUGACCUCUCCUACUACGGCCAGAAGCAAUAACCAACCGCUCUUAGGUUAGGUGAACUCCUGCCUCGCAUCACAGGCCGGUUCGGUUAGUUAAAAAAACCGGUUCAUCACGUCACUUUUGCUUAACUCUUUAUAUAUCACCCUUUCACAAUCCUAUAGACUCCACUAACUCUCAGUUGAACUCUGCUUGUUUUGGUGACAUCAUCGUUUUUGUUUUGCGCGCGUGUGUGGAGGUGCAACCCGUGCAUGUAGGGGUGCUCACGGAUCCAAA